This 423-nucleotide ribosomal RNA is filed under the name Fusobacteriota bacterium. RNAcentral describes it as "Fusobacteria bacterium partial 16S ribosomal RNA". It matches the Rfam family "Bacterial small subunit ribosomal RNA", at positions 355 to 776 of the family's 1533-position model. The record is from RNAcentral. Lineage: Bacteria; Fusobacteriati; Fusobacteriota.
UGAGGAAUAUUGGUCAAUGGGCGAGAGCCUGAACCAGCCAAGUAGCGUGCAGGAUGACGGCCCUAUGGGUUGUAAACUGCUUUUAUGUGGGGAUAAAGUGCGUGACGUGUCAUGCAUUGCAGGUACCACAUGAAUAAGGACCGGCUAAUUCCGUGCCAGCAGCCGCGGUAAUACGGAAGGUCCGGGCGUUAUCCGGAUUAUUGGGUUUAAAGGGAGCGUAGGCUGUCUAUUAAGCGUGUUGUGAAAUAUACCGGCUCAACCGGUGGCUUGCAGGGCGAACUGGUCGACUUGAGUAUGCAGGAAGUAGGCGGAAUUCAUGGUGUAGCGGUGAAAUGCUUAGAUAUCAUGACGAACUCCGAUUGCGCAGGCAGCUUACUGUAGCAUAACUGACGCUGAUGCUCGAAAGUGCGGGUAUCAAACAGG